RNAcentral lists this ribosomal RNA (468 nucleotides) under uncultured bacterium. RNAcentral's name for it is "partial 16S ribosomal RNA". It matches the Rfam family "Bacterial small subunit ribosomal RNA", at positions 28 to 507 of the family's 1533-position model. The record is from RNAcentral.
GACGAACGCUGGCGGCGUGCUUAACACAUGCAAGUCGAACGGAAAGGCCCUGCCUUUGUGGGGUGCUCGAGUGGCGAACGGGUGAGCAACACGUGAGUAACCUGUCCCUGAUUUUGGGAUAACUUCAGGAAACUGGGGCUAAUACCGCAUAGGAGCUCCUGCCGCAUGGUGGGGGUUGGUAAGUUUCGGCGGUUGGGGAUGGACUCGCGGCUCAUCCGCUUGUUGCUUGGGUAGUGUCUGAGCAUGGCCUUGACAGGUAGCCGGCCUGGGAGGGUGACCGGCCACAUUAGAACUGGAAUGCGGCCCAGACUACUACCGGACGCAGCGGUGGAGAAUGUUGCACUAUGGGCGGAAGCCUAGUGCGGCAACGCAGCGUGCGGGAUGACAGCCUUCGGGUUGUGAACCACUUUCGCCUGUGACGAGGCGUGAAUGACGGUAAUGGGUGAAGAAGCACCGGCUAACUACGUG